CCUACGGGAGGCAGCAGUAGGGAAUAUUGCACAAUGGGGGAAACCCUGAUGCAGCAACGCCGCGUGGAUGAAGAAGGUUUUCGGUUUGUAAAGCUCUAUCGGCAGAGAAGAAAAUGACGGUAUCUAACGAAUAAGCACCGGCUAACUACGUGCCAGCAGCCGCGGUAAUACGGAGGGUGCAAGCGUUACCCGGAUUUACUGGGUGUAAAGAGCGCGUAGGCGGGGUAGCAAGUCUGAUGUGAAAUGCUAUGGCUUAACCACGGAACUGCAUUUGAAACUGUUACUCUGGAGUACAGGAGAGGUAAGUGGAAUUCUUAGUGUAGCGGUGAAAUGCGUAGAGAUCAGGAGGAAUACUCGUGGCGAAGGCGGCCUACUGGAACGUAACUGACGCUGAUGCGCGAAAGCGUGGGGAGCAAACAGGAUUAGAUACCCGUGUAGUC
RNAcentral lists this ribosomal RNA (440 nucleotides) under uncultured bacterium. Its description in RNAcentral is "partial 16S ribosomal RNA". It matches the Rfam family "Bacterial small subunit ribosomal RNA", at positions 338 to 795 of the family's 1533-position model. The record is from RNAcentral.